This 282-nucleotide unclassified non-coding RNA is filed under the name Hevea brasiliensis (rubber tree). The record is from RNAcentral. Lineage: Eukaryota; Viridiplantae; Streptophyta; Magnoliopsida; Malpighiales; Euphorbiaceae.
GUAUUUGAUGAGCUUAGGAACAAACGAUUUCCUGGAAAAUUACUACACGUUUCCAACAAGGCGAGUACAAUUUAGUGUCAGACAAUACCAGGAUUUUCUUGUUUCACUUGCUAGAGAUUUCAUUACCAAACUCUACAGUCUUGGAGCUAGGAAGAUAUCACUAACUGGGGUUCCUCCAAUGGGGCGUUUGCCACUGGAGGGACCACAAAUUUCAUAGGUCAACAUGAUUGUUUAGAGGAGUACAAUAAUGUUGCUUUAGAAUUCAAUGGGAAGUUGGAGGGC